Non-coding RNA from Pelobates cultripes (western spadefoot toad), 204 nucleotides. NCBI's taxonomy places the organism in Eukaryota, Metazoa, Chordata, Amphibia, Anura, Pelobatidae. The record is from the annotation of a GenBank genome assembly.
GGCCAAUCAGCAUCUCCUCAUAGAGAUGAAUUGAAUCUCUAUGAGGAAAGUUCAGUGUCUGCAUGCAGAGGGAGGAGACACUGAAUGUUUGGAUGCAUUUUAGGCAGCCAUGACCCAGGAAGGAUCUCUAACAGCCAUCUGAUGAGUGGCCAGUGAAGUAAUCACUAGGCUGUAAUGUAAACACUGCAUUUUCUCUGAAAAGAC